Molecule: long non-coding RNA, 375 nt
Filed under: Limulus polyphemus (Atlantic horseshoe crab)
Lineage: Eukaryota; Metazoa; Arthropoda; Merostomata; Xiphosura; Limulidae
Description: uncharacterized LOC111085487, transcript variant X2
Source: RNAcentral
CUUUCUCAUUAUACGUACUAUGAAACAGCAAAUUGAGGAAGGGAAAGCGAAUCGGUUCUUCACAAGGACUUGUAAUGUGAACGUACAACAGCAAAGCCACAUUGGACUAUCUGCUGUGUCCAAAGUUAGAGAAUCGAUCUCCGGAUUUAGCGUUGGAAGUCCGUAGAUUUACCACUGUCCUAAAGGAGCAAUUGUGAAAAGCACACGCCGGCAAAUUUCCUCAUUCUUCUGUUGCUUCUUUUCAUCGUGUGUUCAAGCAGCUACGCGUCCAUUGAGACCACUUUGUGCUGACGUGUAACUUACUGUUCUAGAGGUGUUAUUUGAGGAAGUGAAUUCGCUUGACAGGGAUAAACAAGAAAAUGAUGUACAAGAACG